CAUGCACUGGUGGGGUCCCUCGGCCUGGCCUGUGCCCUCUUGCAAUCCAGGACCCCUUGGGGGAUGUCAGAGAGCCGGUUUCGGUCCGACUCCGCAGACCAGGCCGAGGGACCCCACCGGUACACA
Molecule: microRNA precursor, 126 nt
Filed under: Myotis lucifugus (little brown bat)
Lineage: Eukaryota; Metazoa; Chordata; Mammalia; Chiroptera; Vespertilionidae
Description: mir-9193 microRNA precursor family
Rfam family: mir-9193 microRNA precursor family
Source: Rfam by way of RNAcentral